This 73-nucleotide transfer RNA is filed under the name Diaphorina citri (Asian citrus psyllid). It matches the Rfam family "tRNA". Rfam says of the family: Transfer RNA (tRNA) molecules are approximately 80 nucleotides in length. Their secondary structure includes four short double-helical elements and three loops (D, anti-codon, and T loops). Lineage: Eukaryota; Metazoa; Arthropoda; Insecta; Hemiptera; Psyllidae. The record is from Rfam by way of RNAcentral.
GCCUAGUUAGCUUAGUUGGUAGUGCGUCUGCAUUGUAAGCGCUAGGCCGCGGGUUCGAUCCCCGCCCGGGGCG